Molecule: non-coding RNA, 115 nt
Filed under: Mola mola (ocean sunfish)
Lineage: Eukaryota; Metazoa; Chordata; Actinopteri; Tetraodontiformes; Molidae
Source: RNAcentral
GUCUUUCACAUAAAAUAGAAGGUUAGCACUUCCCUUGACAAGGAUGGAAUCAGCCCUUGUGGCCGUCAACACACAAAUGGUUAAGACAUAAAAUUCCAAUAAAUUAUAUUUAUUU